This 440-nucleotide ribosomal RNA is filed under the name uncultured bacterium. RNAcentral's name for it is "bacterial SSU rRNA". It matches the Rfam family "Bacterial small subunit ribosomal RNA", at positions 338 to 773 of the family's 1533-position model. The record is from RNAcentral.
CCUACGGGUGGCUGCAGUCGAGAAUCUUCGGCAAUGCGCGCAAGCGUGACCGAGCGACGCCGUGUGCGGGAUGAAGGCCCUCGGGUUGUAAACCGCUGUCGUAGGGGAGGAAGUUGAUCGGGGUUCUCCCCGGUCAUUGACCUAUCCUAGGAGGAAGGACGGGCUAAGUACGUGCCAGCAGCCGCGGUAAUACGUACCGUCCAAACGUUAUUCGGAAUUACUGGGCUUAAAGGGUAUGUAGGCGGCGCUGUUAGUCGGGUGUGAAAGCCCUCGGCUCAACCGAGGAAUUGCGCCCGAUACUGCAGUGCUUGAGGGAGACAGAGGUAAGCGGAACUGAUGGUGGAGCGGUGAAAUGCGUUGAUAUCAUCAGGAACACCGGUGGCGAAAGCGGCUUACUGGGUCUCUUCUGACGCUGAGAUACGAAAGCUAGGGGAGCGAAG